RNAcentral lists this non-coding RNA (23 nucleotides) under Mus musculus (house mouse). The record is from RNAcentral. Lineage: Eukaryota; Metazoa; Chordata; Mammalia; Rodentia; Muridae.
UAGUAGAACCCCACAUUCACAGG